RNAcentral lists this ribosomal RNA (423 nucleotides) under Triticum aestivum (bread wheat). RNAcentral's name for it is "partial small subunit ribosomal RNA". The record is from RNAcentral. Lineage: Eukaryota; Viridiplantae; Streptophyta; Magnoliopsida; Poales; Poaceae.
AUGGUCGCUCACGAUCUGAGAAACACUGCGCGCUUUCCUUUCCUUGAGCAAGCGGAGAAAGGGCAGACAGCCUUGUGUCUAGUGUGGUGGCAUCAGUUGGCCUUGGUCGUUUGCCCCGGUGGCAAGCGAAGCACAGAUACCAAAACUGAGCGGCAAGAAAGGCAGAAGAGCAUCAGUUCACCUUCAAGCCCAUGGCACAGCACACUAGUACUCCUGAAAGCAAAAAGAGUUGGCUCAACAGCAAGCAGGAUCAUCGUCGCCACGCCACUACACCUCACUUACAUCUACUACAUGGAUCAUCGAUCUGUCCUUUUUCCUCUUUCUGCCGCCGGCUUUUCCACCGCUUUCUUCUCUCCUCUUAUCGAUGGCCGCUCCUCCCAUCCACGCUUCCUCUUCUCUUCAGUGGCCGAGCCUCAGCUAUAA